AUGGCGGUGGUGUUCACGGUGCUGGCCGUGCUAGUGCUGGUGGCGGCCGUCUCCGUGCUGCUGGUGGUGCUGGUGCUGCAGCCCCGGGCGCCGUACCUGGCCGUGCAGACGGCGCGGCUGGGGAACCUGGUGUACGACCAGCAGGGGGUGCUGGACAACGCGGAGCUGGAGCUGGACGUGCGCGCGGCGAACGUGAACGCCCACGCCGCCGUGGCCUUCUCGGAGCUGGAGCUGCGGCUGAGCUUCCACGACAUGGUGAUCGCCAUCCUGCGCGCCGACCCCUUCGUGGUGCCGCCCAGGGGCGAGCGGCCGCUGGGGUACGUGGCGUCGUCGGCGGCGGUGCCGCUGGACGGCGCCGGGCGGGCCGCCAUGGAGGGCGCGCUGGACCGCGGCGUGGUGCCGUUCCGGGUGAGCGGGCAGGCACGGACGCGGUGGAAGGUGGGCGGGGUGGUGGCCGUCAAGUACUGGACGCGGCUGGCAUGCCAGAUCCGCUUCUUCUGGCCCAACGGCACCGCGCUCGACUUCACCUGCAACUCCAAGUCCAGGUCCCGCUACUGA
RNAcentral lists this ribosomal RNA (558 nucleotides) under Triticum aestivum (bread wheat). RNAcentral describes it as "partial small subunit ribosomal RNA". Lineage: Eukaryota; Viridiplantae; Streptophyta; Magnoliopsida; Poales; Poaceae. The record is from RNAcentral.